GAGUGGCACGACUACAAGCUGCGCUGGGAGCCCCAGCGACUACGAGAACGUCACCUCUAUCCGCAUUCCCUCUGAGCUCAUCUGGCGGCCGGACAUCGUCCUCUAUAACAAGUGAAGGAGGACUGGAAGUACGUGGCCAUGGUCAUCGACCGCAUCUUCCUCUGGAUGUUCAUCGUUGUCUGCCUGCUGGGAACCGUGGGCCUGUUCCUGCCACCCUGGCUGGCCGGCAUGAUCUAAGGAUGGAGCUGGUGUGGCCUGGGCAACUACAGGAUGCGGCAGGGUUGGGUUGCUUGUCCCCGCCCCCCAGCUCCACGGGGCCGUGCCACUGGCCAUUUGCCCACCAUCUUCCAAGUACCUGCUGUGAGCUAGCCUUGGAAAGAGACACUACCUCUGAGGGAGCUGGAGUUUGGGUGCUGGUUCUGGUCCUGCAGCGGCCAGGGGAGGGGCGGCUGGCUGGCAGGGCUGGCACGUGCUUGCUUCAUCCACAGGGCAGUGUCGUGGCUAAGCCCCAUCAAAGUUUCUCCAGAGCAGACCACUUGCUCUCCUGCCUGCAGACAGCACAUGCUCGCCUGAGCCUUGCAGAUGCCCG
This 589-nucleotide long non-coding RNA is filed under the name Heterocephalus glaber (naked mole-rat). RNAcentral's name for it is "lncRNA (ENSHGLG00000041811.1)". The record is from RNAcentral. Lineage: Eukaryota; Metazoa; Chordata; Mammalia; Rodentia; Bathyergidae.